Molecule: ribosomal RNA, 253 nt
Filed under: uncultured bacterium
Lineage: Bacteria
Description: partial 16S ribosomal RNA
Rfam family: Bacterial small subunit ribosomal RNA
Source: RNAcentral
UACGAAGGGGGCUAGCGUUGUUCGGAAUUACUGGGCGUAAAGCGCACGUAGGCGGGUUGUUAAGUCAGGGGUGAAAUCCCGGAGCUCAACUCCGGAACUGCCUUUGAUACUGGCAACCUAGAGGCUGGAAGAGGUUAGUGGAAUUCCCAGUGUAGAGGUGAAAUUCGUAGAGAUGCGGAGGAACACCGAUGGCGAAGGCAGCCUUCUGGGCCAACACUGACGCUCAUGCACGAAAGCGUGGGGAGCAAACAGG